CCGAUUUCCUCAUCAUUUCACAUCAGCAGUAGCAUUGCUGGACCUGGGUACUGGUGGUGGAUGCUUGGGAGCAGGUCUUGCAGGAGCAAUGUGAGGCAGCGCUUUUGUGUGUCCAAGCCCUGGGGUGCACGCACUGUUAUAACGAGUUUUGUUCAGGGGAUCUGCUGGUAGAGGCUUCCGAGGAGGGCUUGGCUUGUGGUUUUCCUGGGGGAGCCUGAGAGUGGGGUUAGCAGGAAGGGGCCUUU
Molecule: long non-coding RNA, 245 nt
Filed under: Gallus gallus (chicken)
Lineage: Eukaryota; Metazoa; Chordata; Aves; Galliformes; Phasianidae
Source: RNAcentral